AACGAACGCUGGCGGCAGGCUUAACACAUGCAAGUCGAGCGAAGACUUCGGUCUUAGCGGCGGACGGGUGAGUAACGCGUGGGAACAUACCCUUUGCUACGGAACAGUCCCGGGAAACUUGGGCUAAUACCGGAUAAGCCCGAAAGGAGAAAGAUUCAUCGCCGAAGGAUCGGCCCGCGUCUGAUUAGCUAGUUGGUGGGGUAACGGCCCACCAAGGCGACGAUCAGUAGCUGGUCUGAGAGGAUGAUCAGCCUCACUGGGACUGAGACACGGCCCAGACUCCUACGGGAGGCAGCAGUGGGGAAUAUUGGACAAUGGGCGCAAGCCUGAUCCAGCCAUGCCGCGUGGGUGAUGAAGGCCCUAGGGUUGUAAAGCCCUUUCGGCGGGGAAGAUAAUGACGGUACCCGCAGAAGAAGCCCCGGCUAACUUCGUGCCAGCAGCCGCCGUAAAAC
Molecule: ribosomal RNA, 452 nt
Filed under: uncultured bacterium
Lineage: Bacteria
Description: bacterial SSU rRNA
Rfam family: Bacterial small subunit ribosomal RNA
Source: RNAcentral